GAUGAACGCUGGCGGCGUGCCUAAUACAUGCAAGUCGAGCGAACGGACGAGAAGCUUGCUUCUCUGAUGUUAGCGGCGGACGGGUGAGUAACACGUGGAUAACCUACCUAUAAGACUGGGAUAACUUCGGGAAACCGGAGCUAAUACCGGAUAAUAUUUUGAACCGCAUGGUUCAAAAGUGAAAGACGGUCUUGCUGUCACUUAUAGAUGGAUCCGCGCUGCAUUAGCUAGUUGGUAAGGUAACGGCUUACCAAGGCAACGAUGCAUAGCCGACCUGAGAGGGUGAUCGGCCACACUGGAACUGAGACACGGUCCAGACUCCUACGGGAGGCAGCAGUAGGGAAUCUUCCGCAAUGGGCGAAAGCCUGACGGAGCAACGCCGCGUGAGUGAUGAAGGUCUUCGGAUCGUAAAACUCUGUUAUUAGGGAAGAACAUAUGUGUAAGUAACUGUGCACAUCUUGACGGUACCUAAUCAGAAAGCCACGGCUAACUACGUGCCAGCAGCCGCGGUAAUACGUAGGUGGCAAGCGUUAUCCGGAAUUAUUGGGCGUAAAGCGCGCGUAGGCGGUUUUUUAAGUCUGAUGUGAAAGCCCACGGCUCAACCGUGGAGGGUCAUUGGAAACUGGAAAACUUGAGUGCAGAAGAGGAAAGUGGAGUUCCAUGUGUAGCGGUGAAAUGCGCAGAGAUAUGGAGGAACACCAGUGGCGAAGGCGACUUUCUGGUCUGUAACUGACGCUGAUGUGCGAAAGCGUGGGGAUCAAACAGGAUUAGAUACCCUGGUAGUCCACGCCGUAAACGAUGAGUGCUAAGUGUUAGGGGGUUUCCGCCCCUUAGUGCUGCAGCUAACGCAUUAAGCACUCCGCCUGGGGAGUACGACCGCAAGGUUGAAACUCAAAGGAAUUGACGGGGACCCGCACAAGCGGUGGAGCAUGUGGUUUAAUUCGAAGCAACGCGAAGAACCUUACCAAAUCUUGACAUCCUUUGACAACUCUAGAGAUAGAGCUUUCCCCUUCGGGGGACAAAGUGACAGGUGGUGCAUGGUUGUCGUCAGCUCGUGUCGUGAGAUGUUGGGUUAAGUCCCGCAACGAGCGCAACCCUUAAGCUUAGUUGCCAUCAUUAAGUUGGGCACUCUAAGUUGACUGCCGGUGACAAACCGGAGGAAGGUGGGGAUGACGUCAAAUCAUCAUGCCCCUUAUGAUUUGGGCUACACACGUGCUACAAUGGACAAUACAAAGGGCAGCGAAACCGUGAGGUCAAGCAAAUCCCAUAAAGUUGUUCUCAGUUCGGAUUGUAGUCUGCAACUCGACUACAUGAAGCUGGAAUCGCUAGUAAUCGUAGAUCAGCAUGCUACGGUGAAUACGUUCCCGGGUCU
This 1372-nucleotide ribosomal RNA is filed under the name uncultured bacterium. Its description in RNAcentral is "bacterial SSU rRNA". It matches the Rfam family "Bacterial small subunit ribosomal RNA", at positions 28 to 1381 of the family's 1533-position model. The record is from RNAcentral.